CUUAGCUGGGUCCUGUACUUAAGAGUCUCUCACUAGGCUGCCAUCACAGGGUUGGCCGGGGCUAUAGUUGCCUCAAGACUCCAGCGGGACCUGCUUCCAAGCUCACUCAUGAGGUCGUCGGCAAGAUUCUGUUCCUCACAGGCUGUUGUUCUGAGGGCCUUUCCGUUACUUGCCCUGUAAGCCUCUCCCGAGGGCAGCUCAGUGUGACAGCUUGCUUCAUCAGUGCAAGCAAGAGAGGAGUCAGUGCAGCAAGAUCAAGGUCACCAUCUUUAAUAAGUGAUCUCGGAAAUGCUACUUCAUCGCUUUGGCCUGUUGUUCUUUAGGAGCAAGUCAACAGGUCCAGCCCACACAGGAGCAGAGAGGAUUACAGGACGGCCUGAGUACCAGGAGCCGGACCGUCAUCGGGAAUCCUUUAGAAGCCAGCUACCAUGGCAAUAGAGCUCUUCAAGGGAACAGAAAAGUGUCUGACUCAUCUCUAUAUCCCAAGCACCUGGCCCACAUCCUGACAGCAUCCACCUGGACAGUGUAUUUAUCCUCUGGCACAAGAAGGAGUUAUCAGGACAUUAAACUUCUUCUCAAAGUCAUCUACCAAGCCAGCCUUUGCCACAUUGGCCUUACAGUAAGCCCAGUCAAUAGCAGGUGGUUUCUCAGGAAGAGUAGCCAACCUGGAGGUAAGUAUCUCAUUCCAGGAUUUCAGGGAGUUGGCAAUGGCCUUCUGGUUUCAGGGUAUGAUCUCCCCAAAAGCUACCCAGUCAAUGGUUUUUAGAGCAAGUUUUCACCCGGCCAUCUUGAGAUCCUUCACUGACCCCAGCAGCCCACAGUCCACAGCCUAUCAUCCAUUUUACAUGUGAGAAGAAAAAGCUCAGAAAGGUUAAGUAACUUGCCCAGAGUCACAGAGCUAGGAGGGGGUGGAGUUUGUAUCAGACCCAGGUCUGAGCUGACCAGAAAGUUCAGAUUUCUAUGAAGCAGGUAUUGCCCUUGGUUACAGAAUGGGUAAAAGAGGGAUUGAGGCCAAAGUGGGAUUGAGAAUGAGAGAGGUUUAUUGGGGAGUGACACCCACAGAUGGGCAAGAUGCAGUACAGACCAGACAAAAUCUCUGCCAGCCCAGCAUAGAGCUCUGAAGCAAAGACUGCCCAUUCAAGGGGGCCUGCAUUGGGCAGAGAUGGGUGGACCCUUGUACCACUACUUCAGCUCACCCAUCAGCUGGGGAGAGCAUGCCAUGAUCUCAGGUUGAAAACUGGUCUGGCCCCUCAAGGCUGUCAGUGAACUGCACUCCUUGCAUCGGGCAUUUAAGAUCUCCUUAAAUGGAGAUCUGAGCAGUGCAUCUCCUCAUCUGUCACAUGCUCUAAAAAUUGCCAGUGCUCCUUUCAUCCAAGAGAAGGGUGUGCAUGAGUUAUCUAUUGCUGUAUAACAAAUUGCCCCCAAAUGUAGAAGCUUAAAAUAGCAAGUAUUUGUUAUCUUACAGUUUCUGUGCAUCAGGAGUCCAGGCAUGGCUUAGGUGGGAGCCUCUGGCUGAAGGUCUAGUGUGAGGUUGUUGUCAAGCUGUAGUUGGGGUCACCAUCUCACCUGAAGGAUCAACUGGAAGGGUAAUAGGCUUCUGAGCUCACAUGCAUGUUUUUUGGCAGGCCAUGGGCCCCCAUCACUUUGGCCUCUCCACAGGACUACCUCAUGACAUAGCAGCUGACUUCCUCCAGGAUAAGCAGCCCAAGAGGCAGUGAGAAAGAGGACCCACAGUAGAAGUCAUGGCUUUCUAUAACCUCCUCUUGGAUGUGACAUCCCAUCAUUUCUACCACAUUCUGUUUUGUUAGAAUUGAGUUAGUAAGUCCAGGCCAUACUCAAGGAAGAUACAAGUACAAGAAUACCAGGAGUUGGGGAUCACUGGCAGCCCUUUCAGAGGCUGCCUCCCAUAGCAUAUUCAAAUAAAUAACACUAAUGGGGGAUGCCUGGCUGGCUCAGUUGAUGGAGCAUGGGACUUUGAUCUCAGGGUCUGAGUUCAAGCCCCAUGUUGGGUGUAGAGCUUACUUAAAAGAAAAAAAAAGCAAAAAACAAUAAUGACAAUAGUAAUAAGUUUACCCACCAUGUGUUGAACAUUUGCUAUGAAUUAGAGGUGGUACUAGGUCCUCACCAUAUCACCUCAUCCUUACUCCUUUAUUUUUAUUUAUUUGUUUGUUUGUUUAGAUUUUAUUUAUUUAUUCAUGAGAGACACAGAGAGAGGUAGAGAUAUAGGCAGAGGGAGAUGCUAGCUCUC
This is a long non-coding RNA of Canis lupus familiaris (dog), 2248 nucleotides long. RefSeq lists it as uncharacterized. The transcript is spliced from 3 exons. NCBI's taxonomy places the organism in Eukaryota, Metazoa, Chordata, Mammalia, Carnivora, Canidae. The record is from RefSeq and is a predicted model, not a curated record.